Long non-coding RNA from Pipistrellus kuhlii (Kuhl's pipistrelle), 144 nucleotides. RefSeq lists it as uncharacterized. The transcript has 3 exons. NCBI's taxonomy places the organism in Eukaryota, Metazoa, Chordata, Mammalia, Chiroptera, Vespertilionidae. The record is from RefSeq and is a predicted model, not a curated record.
GCUCGGAGGCUGAGCCGCGGCGGGGCACAGGCUGGACAUUCCGGCUCGGACAGCAGCCUGAGGCGGGCGGAGCAGAGGUGGCGGCGGAGGCCCAGGUCCUGCAUCAAGUGCCUUCUGCGUGCACACCUGCGAGGCAAGAGAGAA